AUUGAACAUCGACAUCUUGAACGCACAUUGCGGGCCUCGGGCAUUCCCGAGGCCACGCCUGUCUCAGGGUCGGUUGAACUUAUCAAUCGUCGGUUGACCGUAUUUGCCGACGCAUUGGAUCGUCGCGGCUCGCGCUGACCGUAAAGGCGCGAUCGGCAUUGACCGUAUUUGUCGUUCGCGCUGCGCAGAGCCACGUCGUCCGAAGUACAGACGGGUCCAAAGCUUUGCCGACCGCACGUCCUAAGUCCGCCUGUCGGACGGGGACGGCGACUCGGACCGUAAAGAGAAGCCGUCGCCUGUUCAUUGGCGGUACGGUUGGCAAAGCUGAGGAACCACGAAGCGGAAAACGCGAGCGUCCAACGUCGUAUUCGGAACGAGCCGGCGGCCUAUUUACGUUGUAGGUCCGUCGCGUCUCGUACCGCUGUCGACCG
RNAcentral lists this unclassified non-coding RNA (431 nucleotides) under Potamothrix bavaricus. RNAcentral's name for it is "sequence contains ITS2". The stretch from base 1 to 72 matches the Rfam family "5.8S ribosomal RNA", at positions 84 to 154 of the family's 154-position model. The record is from RNAcentral. Lineage: Eukaryota; Metazoa; Annelida; Clitellata; Tubificida; Naididae.